AAUCAACGCUGGCGGCGUGCCUCAGACAUGCAAGUCGAGCGAUUAAACUUUCCUUCGGGAAAGAUAUAAAGCGGCGUACGGGUGAGUAACACGUAAGUAAUCUACCUUCGAGUGGGGAAUAACGUUCGGAAACGGACGCUAAUACCGCAUAAUGCAGCGGCAUCUAAUGAUGACAGUUGUUAAAGAUUUAUCGCUUGAAGAGGAGCUUGCGGCAGAUUAGCUUGUUGGUAAGGUAAUGGCUUACCAAGGCUACGAUCUGUAUCCGGUCUAAGAGGACGGUCGGACACACUGACACUGAAUAACGGGUCAGACUCCUACGGGAGGCAGCAGUCGGGAAUUUUGGGCAAUGGGCGAAAGCCUGACCCAGCAACGCCGCGUGAAGGAUGAAGUCUUUCGGGAUGUAAACUUCGUAAGAAUAGGAAGAAUAAAUGACGGUACUAUUUGUAAGGUCCGGCUAACUACGUGC
RNAcentral lists this ribosomal RNA (466 nucleotides) under uncultured bacterium. RNAcentral describes it as "bacterial SSU rRNA". It matches the Rfam family "Bacterial small subunit ribosomal RNA", at positions 32 to 508 of the family's 1533-position model. The record is from RNAcentral.